AUGCGGCGGGAAGAAGUGGCAUUUAGAAGUGUUGCUGACUUUACAUUUAGGUUUCGGCAUAACAAAGCUUGCACUGUCUUUUCGCACUUAGGCGCACAGCGUGCCGUCGGUAAUGAUUCUACUACGGUGCUGCAAAUUUGCAAGCUGAUCCUAAGUAAUCGUUGUUGUUCAUUGGAUUCCUCCGGAAUUACUUCGUUAGGAUUGAAGAAUUGCAGCAAUUCUUCCUGA
RNAcentral lists this ribosomal RNA (228 nucleotides) under Triticum aestivum (bread wheat). Its description in RNAcentral is "partial small subunit ribosomal RNA". Lineage: Eukaryota; Viridiplantae; Streptophyta; Magnoliopsida; Poales; Poaceae. The record is from RNAcentral.